This is a non-coding RNA of Picea glauca (white spruce), 46 nucleotides long. Lineage: Eukaryota; Viridiplantae; Streptophyta; Pinopsida; Pinales; Pinaceae. The record is from Rfam.
AAAAAGGUUUUUCUAAAAACCAAUAUUUUAUACCUAGAAACCCUUU